UGGGGAAUCUUCCACAAUGGACGAAAGUCUGAUGGAGCAACGCCGCGUGAGUGAAGGAGGGUUUCGGCUCGUAAAACUCUGUUGUUAAAGAAGAACAUAUCUGAGAGUAACUGUUCAGGUAUUGACGGUAUUUAACCAGAAAGCCACGGCUAACUACGUGCCGG
RNAcentral lists this ribosomal RNA (164 nucleotides) under uncultured bacterium. Its description in RNAcentral is "partial 16S rRNA". It matches the Rfam family "Bacterial small subunit ribosomal RNA", at positions 355 to 511 of the family's 1533-position model. The record is from RNAcentral.